UCUGACGCUAGGUCAAGGGCGGUGUUCCUGUGUUCUUAGGGCCCCAGGAGGCGAGUCUGAGUGGAACCUGGCUGGGGUAGGCUGAAAGGUGACUUCGACGCUCUUCUGAGGCCUCAGACGUGUGUGAUGACUGCCCUGUAGAAUCAGUGCUGUGACCCCGAGUAACAACGCGCGCUUGAGUUGGUAUAAACUCCUGAAGAGUGUAGUCCUGCAAUUUACAAGAAAAAGUUAAGUGUAAAAUAGCCUCAGGCAUGUCCUUCAGGAGGGAUUCCAGAGGCAUUGUUAUAGACGAUGACAGCUCUGUGUGUGUUAUUGCCACUGAAGACCUUCCAUGGGACGCGAUGUGGAGCUGGAAGUCAGUGAUAUUGAUGAUCCUGACACAGUCCUAGGAUAAGGAUCUUUAACUUUAUUAGCAGCUACUGAGCUACAGAAUACAAACCAACUGAAAACAUUAAAGAAAGGCUUCCUGAAACAGGCUUUCCAGCUCACUACCCAAAAGACUUGAGUACUUCUAUUAAGGCAGCUGGAAGCCCACCCUAGACUUCAAUGGCAAUUUGUCCUUUCUCUGCCAGU
Molecule: long non-coding RNA, 573 nt
Filed under: Homo sapiens (human)
Lineage: Eukaryota; Metazoa; Chordata; Mammalia; Primates; Hominidae
Description: non-protein coding lnc-WDR87-1:4
Source: RNAcentral